This 72-nucleotide transfer RNA is filed under the name Camelus bactrianus (Bactrian camel). It matches the Rfam family "tRNA". Rfam says of the family: Transfer RNA (tRNA) molecules are approximately 80 nucleotides in length. Their secondary structure includes four short double-helical elements and three loops (D, anti-codon, and T loops). Lineage: Eukaryota; Metazoa; Chordata; Mammalia; Artiodactyla; Camelidae. The record is from Rfam by way of RNAcentral. RNAcentral also lists the same sequence under 3 other names.
AAGGGUAGAGCUCAGGGUAGAGUGCAUGCCUAGCUAAGCACGAGGUCCUGGGUUCAAUCCCCAGUACCUCCA